AUUGAACGCUGGCGGCAUGCCUUACACAUGCAAGUCGAACGGCAGCACGGGAGCAAUCCUGGUGGCGAGUGGCGAACGGGUGAGUAAUAUAUCGGAACGUGCCCAGUAGUGGGGGAUAGCCCGGCGAAAGCCGGAUUAAUACCGCAUACGACCUGUGGGUGAAAGCGGGGGAUCGCAAGACCUCGCGCUAUUGGAGCGGCCGAUAUCAGAUUAGCUAGUUGGUGGGGUAAAGGCCUACCAAGGCGACGAUCUGUAGCUGGUCUGAGAGGACGACCAGCCACACUGGGACUGAGACACGGCCCAGACUCCUACGGGAGGCAGCAGUGGGGAAUUUUGGACAAUGGGCGCAAGCCUGAUCCAGCCAUGCCGCGUGUGGGAAGAAGGCCUUCGGGUUGUAACC
This 400-nucleotide ribosomal RNA is filed under the name uncultured bacterium. RNAcentral's name for it is "bacterial SSU rRNA". It matches the Rfam family "Bacterial small subunit ribosomal RNA", at positions 29 to 430 of the family's 1533-position model. The record is from RNAcentral.